Non-coding RNA from Arachis ipaensis, 261 nucleotides. Lineage: Eukaryota; Viridiplantae; Streptophyta; Magnoliopsida; Fabales; Fabaceae. The record is from RefSeq and is a predicted model, not a curated record.
UUCAUACUGCACCUGCCUGAAGCCUUAAGGCAUACCUGAAUCUCUCUGACCUUCUUGUCGCCGUCAAGAUCUCACGCCAUCUCGCUGAGCUCUGUUGAUAUCUCUAUUACAGCGUUGCUUGCCGUCAUCUGCCACUUCCUCCAUCCAGAUUGAGAAUGAGUUCGUUGAGCAGUGCGGUGCGAGAUCUUCAACGCGAAUUAGAGAACAAAACCAAUGAUCUCUCCAAGCUUCAAAAGGAUAUUGCAAAGAAUCACCAAGUUA